This 261-nucleotide ribosomal RNA is filed under the name Triticum aestivum (bread wheat). RNAcentral's name for it is "partial small subunit ribosomal RNA". Lineage: Eukaryota; Viridiplantae; Streptophyta; Magnoliopsida; Poales; Poaceae. The record is from RNAcentral.
AUGAACGAUGAAAGGAAGGUGCAUUGGAUUUCUUGGGAGAAGAUGUGCGCUUCAAAGAAGGAGGAGGGGCUUGGUUUUAGAAAUUCGGAGGGGUUCAACCUAGCGCUAUUAGCUAAGCAAGCAUGGAGGAUCCUCACUAAUCCCUCCUCUUUUUGCUCCAGGGUGUUGAAAGCAAGAUACUUCAAAGAUGAUACAAUCUUGAGCGCCACCUGCCCUUCCAAUUCGUCAUACACUUACAGAAGCAUUCUGCAUGGGAGGGAC